UGCGUAGGCGGCCAGAUCAGUCAGGCGUGAAAGUUUUCGGCUUAACCGGAAAAUUGCGUUUGAUACUGUUUGGCUAGAAUCAGGAUGAGGUUGGCGGAAUGUGGCAUGUAGCGGUGAAAUGCAUAGAUAUGCCAUAGAACACCGAUUGCGAAGGCAGCCGACUGGACCUGAAUUGACGCUGAGGCACGAAAGCGUGGGUAGCGAACAGGAUUAGAUACCCUGGUAGUCC
RNAcentral lists this ribosomal RNA (229 nucleotides) under uncultured bacterium. Its description in RNAcentral is "partial 16S ribosomal RNA". It matches the Rfam family "Bacterial small subunit ribosomal RNA", at positions 568 to 796 of the family's 1533-position model. The record is from RNAcentral.